Long non-coding RNA from Tachysurus fulvidraco (yellow catfish), 1170 nucleotides. RefSeq lists it as uncharacterized. Lineage: Eukaryota; Metazoa; Chordata; Actinopteri; Siluriformes; Bagridae. The transcript is spliced from 3 exons. The record is from RefSeq and is a predicted model, not a curated record.
UCAAGCAUGGUGUUAAAGUCAUUUUCCAUCAUACAUGAUAGCUUGGCUGUCAUCCUCCUUUCUUCUACCAUGUACACUGGUUCCAGGGUGCAUUCCAGGUGAAAGCUGAUCUUCUUCAUCAUUUUAUCCAGUCUCUUCCCGUCUUCAUCAUAGAUGCUGCUGCCCCAGCAGACAACCCAAAAAAAUAGCAGAUUCCACCACAGACUCAAAUUUACACCCAGACUAAAUGGUGAAGGAAUGUUGUUGUGGUCUCAAAAUAGUGUUCAUCACUGAUGGAUUUUAGAAUUGUUAAAUGCAGUCCAUUCUACUUACCCAGAUAAUUCAUUAUCAUGCUCAUUGUCACAGUGUACAGUCCACCAGGCACUAAUUCAAGGGUAGAGCAAAGGUAACUAUACAGGGCUCUACAAAAAGCAGCACCAUAUGUGAUCACAUGACAGAAAAGGCUUGUAUUUUUGGUCUUUUUUGUAUUUUUUCCCCCAGUUGUGCCCUGUCUGUCUUAGAUUUACAUCCAAUCUGUUUUGCAAACUAUCAAAAUGGAGGAGGAGGAGGAGGUUUGCAUUUAAUCAUCUUCUAAAGAAGAUAAAUAGUAACUCCGUUAGUCAGAUACUGCAGAACAUCUCUGAAAGACACUGAGAACUAUAGAAGCUACAACAUUGAGAGUUUACCUCCUUCAUAUUUCAGUGAGUUUCAACACAUCAGUGAUGGAACAGCGUCUGUUCAUGCUCCUGUGUUUCACAGGAGCCGUCCCUCUCGUCCUGUCUGUCCCUAUUUACUUUCUGAUCCAGCAGGGGAAAACAUGGAGUGAUGCUCAGGCUUACUGUCGAACUGAAUACACUGAUCUGGCUAUCAUCAAAACCAGUUAUGAAAUGAGUCAAUUUCAGUAUGAAUUACAGGGACAAAAAUUCAGUUCCAGUGCUUGGAUUGGACUGUACGAUGCCAUUAACAGCUGGCGCUGGUCCAUGGGAAAUGAGCCACUGGGAAGUGCGAAACUGUGGAAUUCAGGACAGCCUGACAACUGGGCGAGUAGUGAAUCGUGUGUUGUGUUGUACGGUUCUGGAUGGUCUGAUAUACCAUGUAGUUCCGCAUACCCCUUUGUGUGCUUCGAUGGUAAGGAACAGCAUUUUUUUUUGUCAGGAGAGAAGGAUAUCAUAAUAAAAACAGUGUCGAAAG